Molecule: ribosomal RNA, 468 nt
Filed under: uncultured bacterium
Lineage: Bacteria
Description: partial 16S ribosomal RNA
Rfam family: Bacterial small subunit ribosomal RNA
Source: RNAcentral
GACGAACGCUGGCGGCGUGCUUAACACAUGCAAGUCGAACGGAAAGGCCCUGCUUUUGUGGGGUGCUCGAGUGGCGAAAGGGUGAGUAACACGUGAGUAACCUGCCCUUGACUUUGGGAUAACUUCAGGAAACUGGGGCUACUACCGGAUAGGAGCUCCUGCUGCAUGGUGGGGGUUGGAAAGUUUCGGCGGUUGGGGAUGGACUCGCGGCUUAUCAGCUUGUUGGUGGGGUAGUGGCUUACCAAGGCUUUGACGGGUAGCCGGCCUGAGAGGGUGACCGGCCACAUUGGGACUGAGAUACGGACCAGACUCCUACGGGAGGCAGCAGUGGGGAAUAUUGCACAAUGGGCGGAAGCCUGAUGCAGCAACGCCGCGUGCGGGAUGACGGCCUUCGGGUUGUAAACCGCUUUCGCCUGUGACGAAGCGUGAGUGACGGUAAUGGGUAAAGAAGCACCGGCUAACUACGUG